AUUAUUUGCUAUCAUCGAUUGUGUAUCAGUUGCUAAUCUGUACACUUUCAGUAGCAAAAUGGUGCCAGAACAAAUGUGUUCACUUGCAACCGUUGCCUACUCAACAUUUACUAGCCAACGUACAGAGAAUACUACAUCUAAAUAAUAAGUUCUAAA
Small nucleolar RNA from Drosophila melanogaster (fruit fly), 156 nucleotides. The record is from Ensembl. Lineage: Eukaryota; Metazoa; Arthropoda; Insecta; Diptera; Drosophilidae.